AUACGGAGGGUGCGAGCGUUAAUCGGAAUUACUGGGCGUAAAGCGCGCGUAGGCGGCUUUGUAAGUCGGAUGUGAAAGCCCUGGGCUCAACCUGGGAAUUGCAUUCGAUACUGCAGAGCUAGAGUAUGGUAGAGGGAAGUGGAAUUUCCGGUGUAGCGGUGAAAUGCGUAGAUAUCGGAAGGAACACCAGUGGCGAAGGCGACUUCCUGGGCCAAUACUGACGCUGAGGUGCGAAAGCGUGGGGAGCAAACAGGAUUAGAUACCCCGGUAGUCC
This 274-nucleotide ribosomal RNA is filed under the name uncultured bacterium. RNAcentral's name for it is "partial 16S ribosomal RNA". It matches the Rfam family "Bacterial small subunit ribosomal RNA", at positions 523 to 796 of the family's 1533-position model. The record is from RNAcentral.